RNAcentral lists this ribosomal RNA (497 nucleotides) under uncultured bacterium. RNAcentral describes it as "partial 16S ribosomal RNA". It matches the Rfam family "Bacterial small subunit ribosomal RNA", at positions 28 to 507 of the family's 1533-position model. The record is from RNAcentral.
GAUGAACGCUGGCGGCGUGCCUAAUACAUGCAAGUCGAGCGAACGGACGAGAAGCUUGCUUCUCUGAUGUUAGCGGCGGACGGGUGAGUAGCACGUGGAUAACCUACCUAUAAGACUGGGAUAACUUCGGGAAACCGGAGCUAAUACCGGAUAAUAUUUUGAACCGCAUGGUUCAAAAGUGAAAGACGGUCUUGCUGUCACUUAUAGAUGGAUCCGCGCUGCAUUAGCUAGUUGGUAAGGUAACGGCUUACCAAGGCAACGAUGCAUAGCCGACCUGAGAGGGUGAUCGGCCACACUGGAACUGAGACACGGUCCAGACUCCUACGGGAGGCAGCAGUAGGGAAUCUUCCGCAAUGGGCGAAAGCCUGACGGAGCAACGCCGCGUGAGUGAUGAAGGUCUUCGGAUCGUAAAACCCUGUUAUUAGGGAAGAACAUAUGUGUAAGUAACUGUGCACAUCUUGACGGUACCUAAUCAGAAAGCCACGGCUAACUACGUG